This 2480-nucleotide ribosomal RNA is filed under the name Klebsiella pneumoniae. RNAcentral's name for it is "bacterial LSU rRNA". It matches the Rfam family "Bacterial large subunit ribosomal RNA", at positions 463 to 2925 of the family's 2925-position model. Lineage: Bacteria; Pseudomonadati; Pseudomonadota; Gammaproteobacteria; Enterobacterales; Enterobacteriaceae. The record is from RNAcentral.
AGGCUAAAUACUCCUGACUGACCGAUAGUGAACCAGUACCGUGAGGGAAAGGCGAAAAGAACCCCGGCGAGGGGAGUGAAAAAGAACCUGAAACCGUGUACGUACAAGCAGUGGGAGCACCUUCGGGUGUGACUGCGUACCUUUUGUAUAAUGGGUCAGCGACUUAUAUUCUGUAGCAAGGUUAACCGUAUAGGGGAGCCGCAGGGAAACCGAGUCUUAACUGGGCGUUAAGUUGCAGGGUAUAGACCCGAAACCCGGUGAUCUAGCCAUGGGCAGGUUGAAGGUUGGGUAACACUAACUGGAGGACCGAACCGACUAAUGUUGAAAAAUUAGCGGAUGACUUGUGGCUGGGGGUGAAAGGCCAAUCAAACCGGGAGAUAGCUGGUUCUCCCCGAAAGCUAUUUAGGUAGCGCCUCGUGAAUUCAUCUUCGGGGGUAGAGCACUGUUUCGGCUAGGGGGUCAUCCCGACUUACCAACCCGAUGCAAACUACGAAUACCGAAGAAUGUUAUCACGGGAGACACACGGCGGGUGCUAACGUCCGUCGUGAAGAGGGAAACAACCCAGACCGCCAGCUAAGGUCCCAAAGUCAUGGUUAAGUGGGAAACGAUGUGGGAAGGCACAGACAGCCAGGAUGUUGGCUUAGAAGCAGCCAUCAUUUAAAGAAAGCGUAAUAGCUCACUGGUCGAGUCGGCCUGCGCGGAAGAUGUAACGGGGCUAAACCAUGCACCGAAGCUGCGGCAGCGACACUAUGUGUUGUUGGGUAGGGGAGCGUUCUGUAAGCCUGCGAAGGUGUGCUGUGAGGCAUGCUGGAGGUAUCAGAAGUGCGAAUGCUGACAUAAGUAACGAUAAAGCGGGUGAAAAGCCCGCUCGCCGGAAGACCAAGGGUUCCUGUCCAACGUUAAUCGGGGCAGGGUGAGUCGACCCCUAAGGCGAGGCCGAAAGGCGUAGUCGAUGGGAAACAGGUUAAUAUUCCUGUACUUGGUGUUACUGCGAAGGGGGGACGGAGAAGGCUAUGUUAGCCGGGCGACGGUUGUCCCGGUUUAAGCAUGUAGGCUGGUUGUCCAGGCAAAUCCGGAUAAUCAAGGCUGAGGUGUGAUGACGAGGCACUACGGUGCUGAAGUAACAAAUGCCCUGCUUCCAGGAAAAGCCUCUAAGCAUCAGGUAACAUCAAAUCGUACCCCAAACCGACACAGGUGGUCAGGUAGAGAAUACCAAGGCGCUUGAGAGAACUCGGGUGAAGGAACUAGGCAAAAUGGUGCCGUAACUUCGGGAGAAGGCACGCUGGUGUGUAGGUGAAGUCCCUGCGGAUGGAGCUGAGACCAGUCGAAGAUACCAGCUGGCUGCAACUGUUUAUUAAAAACACAGCACUGUGCAAACACGAAAGUGGACGUAUACGGUGUGACGCCUGCCCGGUGCCGGAAGGUUAAUUGAUGGGGUUAUCCGUAAGGAGAAGCUCUUGAUCGAAGCCCCGGUAAACGGCGGCCGUAACUAUAACGGUCCUAAGGUAGCGAAAUUCCUUGUCGGGUAAGUUCCGACCUGCACGAAUGGCGUAAUGAUGGCCAGGCUGUCUCCACCCGAGACUCAGUGAAAUUGAACUCGCUGUGAAGAUGCAGUGUACCCGCGGCAAGACGGAAAGACCCCGUGAACCUUUACUAUAGCUUGACACUGAACAUUGAGCCUUGAUGUGUAGGAUAGGUGGGAGGCUUUGAAGCGUGGACGCCAGUCUGCGUGGAGCCAACCUUGAAAUACCACCCUUUAAUGUUUGAUGUUCUAACGUUGGCCCCUGACCGGGGUUGCGGACAGUGUCUGGUGGGUAGUUUGACUGGGGCGGUCUCCUCCCAAAGCGUAACGGAGGAGCACGAAGGUUAGCUAAUCCUGGUCGGACAUCAGGAGGUUAGUGCAAUGGCAUAAGCUAGCUUGACUGCGAGCGUGACGGCGCGAGCAGGUGCGAAAGCAGGUCAUAGUGAUCCGGUGGUUCUGAAUGGAAGGGCCAUCGCUCAACGGAUAAAAGGUACUCCGGGGAUAACAGGCUGAUACCGCCCAAGAGUUCAUAUCGACGGCGGUGUUUGGCACCUCGAUGUCGGCUCAUCACAUCCUGGGGCUGAAGUAGGUCCCAAGGGUAUGGCUGUUCGCCAUUUAAAGUGGUACGCGAGCUGGGUUUAGAACGUCGUGAGACAGUUCGGUCCCUAUCUGCCGUGGGCGCUGGAGAAUUGAGGGGGGCUGCUCCUAGUACGAGAGGACCGGAGUGGACGCAUCACUGGUGUUCGGGUUGUCAUGCCAAUGGCACUGCCCGGUAGCUAAAUGCGGAAGAGAUAAGUGCUGAAAGCAUCUAAGCACGAAACUUGCCCCGAGAUGAGUUCUCCCUGAGACUUUAAGUCUCCUGAAGGAACGUUGAAGACGACGACGUUGAUAGGCCGGGUGUGUAAGCGCAGCGAUGCGUUGAGCUAACCGGUACUAAUGAACCGUGAGGCUUAACCUU